GAUGAACGCUGGCGGCGUGCUUAACACAUGCAAGUCGAACGGAGUUUGACAGGUGCUUGCACCGGUUAAACUUAGUGGCGGACGGGUGAGUAACGCGUGGGUAACCUGCCUCGUACUGGGGGAUAACAGUUGGAAACAGCUGCUAAUACCGCAUAAGCUCACAGAGCCGCAUGGCUCAGAGAGAAAAACUCCGGUGGUACGAGAUGGACCCGCGUCUGAUUAGCUAGUUGGUGAGGUAACGGCUCACCAAGGCGACGAUCAGUAGCCGGCCUGAGAGGGUGAACGGCCACAUUGGGACUGAGACACGGGCCCAAACUCCUACGGGAGGCAGCAGUGGGGAAUAGUUGCACAAUGGGGGAAACCCUGAUGCAGCGACGCCGCGUGAGUGAAGAAGUAUUUCGGUAUGUAAAGCUCUAUCAGCAGGGAAGAGAAUGACGGUACCUGACUAAGAGCACCGGCUAAAUACGUG
RNAcentral lists this ribosomal RNA (469 nucleotides) under uncultured bacterium. RNAcentral describes it as "bacterial SSU rRNA". It matches the Rfam family "Bacterial small subunit ribosomal RNA", at positions 28 to 507 of the family's 1533-position model. The record is from RNAcentral.